UUCGAGACUAGUCUGGGCAAUAUGGUA
Molecule: non-coding RNA, 27 nt
Filed under: Homo sapiens (human)
Lineage: Eukaryota; Metazoa; Chordata; Mammalia; Primates; Hominidae
Source: RNAcentral